Microcebus murinus (gray mouse lemur) is the source of this 1793-nucleotide non-coding RNA. The record is from RefSeq and is a predicted model, not a curated record. Lineage: Eukaryota; Metazoa; Chordata; Mammalia; Primates; Cheirogaleidae.
ACCGAGAGAAGCAUCGCCCACCCCCACCCGGCAGGUGCUGCCUCCGGGACUCCCGAAGCUGGAAGGUCCUGGUCUAAGAAUGCCACCUGAAGGAUCAGGUCCCUCUAGCCCUAAGAUCAAGUCAGUGUAAAGAUCCACUGGUCUGGUGUGGGCCACACCGAAGGCAGGCUUUGCCAACACGUUCCUCUUAUUUGGGUUUCAAUUUUGUACCAGUUUCUCUUGUUUGCUCUCCAGUAGGGGUUUUUGCUGCCGAGGAAAGAGUCUUUAAAAGAAUAAAUAUGGACAAGGUCACAUAAGAAAAUAAAGCACAUUACACUCUCAUUUCUCUAUUGUGAAAAAUGCCACGAAAUCGACCGCAGUUAAUCAGAAAGGAAAUAAGAGUCUUCGGGGCCGUACAAAUAAUGACUGCCCUGAUGGUUCACACCCUGGGAGUUCUCUGGUCGUACUUGAUAUCCUUACAUAUUAUGGCAUUUGGAAAAACUUAUGUUCCUUUUACAUCAACGAUAGGAUACCCAUAUUGGUCAUCCUGGUUUUUUACCUUCUCAGGAAUAUUUGCAAUAGUGGUAGAGAAGAGUUCUUCAAGUUCCUUGAUGUGCUAUACUACAUAUCUGAACAUCACAAGUUUCUGUGUUGCAUUGGUUGGUAUGAUAGCAAUAACAUUUGAGUUAGCAGCACAGAGGGCGAGUAGACAUGUUCCUAUUUGGCCACAUACGGCUGGUAAACUCCUUACAGAAUACUUGGGCAUAUUCACCAUCUUAGAGUUGUUUGCAGCAUUUGUAGUGGUCCACUGGGUAAGGAAAGCAAGACAUGGAGGAUAAUAAAGAUGCAAAAAGGAGUCUAUUCAUCCUCUAUAAUUUCUAUACCACAUAUCUUAGCUAAAAUGCCAAGAAGAUAUAAGCUAAGAGAGGACACCAAAGCAAUGGGGGUGUGCAGCUAUUGAGCUGGUAUAUGCUUCUUCUUCAUCCCUGUUGAUAAAGAUCACCAGAAGCAGUUUUCUUUCAGCUGGCAAGGACAGCAGUACACCUGCACUGCCCUACCUGAGGGGUAUAUCACCUCUUCAGCCGUGUGUCAUCAUUUACUCCACGGGGAUCUUGAUUACUUUUGUCCUCCGCAAGGCCGCGCAAAUAAUGAUCGGCCUGAUUCAGGGUGCCCUGGGGAUUCUCUGGAUACAUAUGUAUCUCCUAGAAGAGAAAGAAAGUUCUGCCGGUCCCAUCUCUGUAAUUGUCAUAAUAAUUUACUCAGCUUUGUCAGGAGUUUUUUUCAUCAUCUCAGGAUCCUGCAGUACAAUACAGAAGCCUCACAUACUAUGUAAGAUUAUUUCAGCAAUUGUAAUGAACAGCAUAAGUACAGCUGUGACUGUAAUUGGGAUCGUUUUCUUAUGCGUUGAGAUUUCAUUUUAUGAAGCAGAAGCAACUGCAUACACUUGGCAGAACAUGACUUGUUUGAUGCUUUUACAAUAUUUAUUAUUCUGCACCAUCGCAGAGAUGGUCAUUGCAGUCAUAAGUAUCGACUGGCUUAGACUAGCAUUACGCAAGGAACAACCCACUGAAGAAAGCUCCUUAACCUCGGAAAUUUCAACACUAGAACCCACGGAAGCCCCACCACCAGAAUCCAACCCUCAGAAUUUGAAAACAGCCACAGAGACUCCAGUCAAGGAUGAAAGAAACGUUGUGAAUCAGUGAAGAACUCUGUAAUUUUUUUUUCAAGAGGCCUCAUGGAAAAUAUCUUCUAAUGAAGUCCUUCCCAGUACUCCUUUUUCUUAGUUCGUCAAUAAAGGAUGCAGUGUGAUCAUA